Molecule: transfer RNA, 70 nt
Filed under: Marmota monax (woodchuck)
Lineage: Eukaryota; Metazoa; Chordata; Mammalia; Rodentia; Sciuridae
Description: tRNA.Ala
Source: RNAcentral
GGAUAUAGCUCAGUUGGUAGAGUGCCUGCUUUGCAUGCACAAGGCUACCUGGGAUUGAUCCCCAGCACCA